GUGCCAUUAUUAUAACUAUAAUAAAAUAAUUGGUAUUAAUAUUUUCAGAACUAAAAUAAGUUUUAAAAUGUAUUUCCAAUCAAAGUAGAAUUCUACAUUGUCUGCAGUUUGAAGUGUUAACAUUUCCUGCUACACAAUAAUUUUGAUAAUUCUGCUCCAGCUCUUUUUGUUUAUUCCAUGCAGUGAGGUGAUUGGAAAUCUUUCUGAUCAAAUCUUUCUACCAAUUAUUAUAUAUAUAACAUCUUGAAUUUUCUUGAUGGAAGA
This is a long non-coding RNA of Octopus sinensis (East Asian common octopus), 264 nucleotides long. RefSeq lists it as uncharacterized. The transcript has 3 exons. NCBI's taxonomy places the organism in Eukaryota, Metazoa, Mollusca, Cephalopoda, Octopoda, Octopodidae. The record is from RefSeq and is a predicted model, not a curated record.